Molecule: ribosomal RNA, 1343 nt
Filed under: uncultured bacterium
Lineage: Bacteria
Description: 16S ribosomal RNA
Rfam family: Bacterial small subunit ribosomal RNA
Source: RNAcentral
GACGAACGCUGGCGGCGUGCUUAACACAUGCAAGUCGAACGGAAAGGCCCUGCUUUUGUGGGGUGCUCGAGUGGCGAACGGGUGAGUAACACGUGAGUAACCUGCCCUUGACUUUGGGAUAACUUCAGGAAACUGGGGCUAAUACCGGAUAGGAGCUCCUGCUGCAUGGUGGGGGUUGGAAAGUUUCGGCGGUUGGGGAUGGACUCGCGGCUUAUCAGCUUGUUGGUGGGGUAGUGGCUUACCAAGGCUUUGACGGGUAGCCGGCCUGAGAGGGUGACCGGCCACAUUGGGACUGAGAUACGGCCCAGACUCCUACGGGAGGCAGCAGUGGGGAAUAUUGCACAAUGGGCGGAAGCCUGAUGCAGCAACGCCGCGUGCGGGAUGACGGCCUUCGGGUUGUAAACCGCUUUCGCCUGUGACGAAGCGUGAGUGACGGUAAUGGGUAAAGAAGCACCGGCUAACUACGUGCCAGCAGCCGCGGUGAUACGUAGGGUGCGAGCGUUGUCCGGAUUUAUUGGGCGUAAAGGGCUCGUAGGUGGUUGAUCGCGUCGGAAGUGUAAUCUUGGGGCUUAACCCUGAGCGUGCUUUCGAUACGGGUUGACUUGAGGAAGGUAGGGGAGAAUGGAAUUCCUGGUGGAGCGGUGGAAUGCGCAGAUAUCAGGAGGAACACCAGUGGCGAAGGCGGUUCUCUGGGCCUUUCCUGACGCUGAGGAGCGAAAGCGUGGGGAGCGAACAGGCUUAGAUACCCUGGUAGUCCACGCUGUAAACGGUGGGUACUAGGUGUGGGGUCCAUUCCACGGGUUCCGUGCCGUAGCUAACGCUUUAAGUACCCCGCCUGGGGAGUACGGCCGCAAGGCUAAAACUCAAAGGAAUUGACGGGGCCCCGCACAAGCGGCGGAGCAUGCGGAUUAAUUCGAUGCAACGCGUAGAACCUUACCUGGGUUUGACAUGGAUCGGGAGCGCUCAGAGAUGGGUGUGCCUCUUUUGGGGUCGGUUCACAGGUGGUGCAUGGCUGUCGUCAGCUCGUGUCGUGAGAUGUUGGGUUAAGUCCCGCAACGAGCGCAACCCUUGUUCACUGUUGCCAGCACGUUAUGGUGGGGACUCAGUGGAGACCGCCGGGGUCAACUCGGAGGAAGGUGGGGACGACGUCAAGUCAUCAUGCCCCUUAUGUCCAGGGCUUCACGCAUGCUACAAUGGCUGGUACAGAGAGUGGCGAGCCUGUGAGGGUGAGCGAAUCUCGGAAAGCCGGUCUCAGUUCGGAUUGGGGUCUGCAACUCGACCUCAUGAAGUCGGAGUCGCUAGUAAUCGCAGAUCAGCAACGCUGCGGUGAAUACGUUCCCGGG